GAUGAAGAACGUAGCGAAAUGCGAUACGUAAUGUGAAUUGCAGAAUUCAGUGAAUCAUCGAAUCUUUGAACGCAUAUUGCGCUCUCUGGUAUUCCGGAGAGCAUGCUUGUUUGAGUAUCAGUAAACACCUCAACUUCCAUAUCUUUUUUGAAAUGGGAGUUGGACUUGAGUGAUCCCAACGCUUUUCCUCACCGAAAAGUGGCGGGUUACUUGAAAUGCAGGUGCAGCUGGACUUUUCUCUGAGCUAUAAGCAUAUCUAUAGUCUGCCUAAAAAACAGAUUAUUACCUUUGCUGCAGCUAACAUAAAGGAGAUUAGUUCUUGUGCUGACUGAUGCAGGAUUCACAAAGACAGGCUUCGGCCGACUUUGUAAACUCGAUCUCAAAUCAAGUAAGACUACCCGCUGAACUUAAGCAUAUCAAUAAGCGGAGGA
This 431-nucleotide unclassified non-coding RNA is filed under the name soil metagenome. RNAcentral describes it as "partial contains 5.8S ribosomal RNA, internal transcribed spacer 2, and large subunit ribosomal RNA". The stretch from base 1 to 120 matches the Rfam family "5.8S ribosomal RNA", at positions 35 to 154 of the family's 154-position model. The record is from RNAcentral.